This is an RNA transcript of Chenopodium quinoa (quinoa), 2180 nucleotides long. RefSeq lists it as uncharacterized. The transcript has 7 exons. The record is from RefSeq and is a predicted model, not a curated record. Lineage: Eukaryota; Viridiplantae; Streptophyta; Magnoliopsida; Caryophyllales; Amaranthaceae.
UUCUAUUUUUGAUGGUCGAGCUCUUGAGUGGGUUUUAGCUCAUGAAAAGCGGUUGCCAGAUGGAACAUGGGGCAUUGACCCAAAAGAUACGGAGACUUUUCGAAUUUCCAAUAUAGUUGUAUUUCAUAGUUUAUCUAAACAAAGAAAUCUACUGACAUUACAGAUUUCAGGUCAUCUAAUUAACUUUUUCUAUGUUUUGUCAAACAGGAAGAGAACUUGCAAAAACAAGCAAAGGAAUCUAAGGAAGGAGAGUGCAAACAAUCAGAGCGAGGCGCUGAUGCCCUUACUUUAGCAUUUGGGAAAAAGGAACAUCGUGGAUUUGUGAAAGGACUUGGUGGAUGUGAGAUUGGUGUCGGCUAUAGAAAAGCAUUUGGCCCGGUAAAAGGUAAAAACAUGUCUAAAAAUGGUUGCUCAUUACAAGAACUAGAUUAAUUUAAAGAGAACUUAACCCGGGAAUUUGAAGAAAAAUUAAAGGAAGGCAUUACAGCAGCUGUAAAUUCUUAUCUUUCUGCUUUCAUACCACACAUGCCUGCUAAUGAUUUGCAAGUAAAUGAUGCUCAACCUUCCCCAUCUUCCUCAACCAAUCUAAUGGAGCUAAGUCCUCGCUUGUUAGAGGUCCCAACUAAAUGUCGUCUUGCUUUAGUUGAUGAGUUCAGUGGGAACUCAGUGAUUGUGGCCGAUGGAACGACUGCACCUUGUCCUAGUGGAGUGAUUCAUCACAAGAAAAUGAACCGUGACAUCUACAGAGUUAGUGUUGACCAUGUUUACAGUGAUUAUUCUCACCUAAAUCUCCCAGAAGAGACUGAUGAUGGUAUCACUAAGCUGGGUCAGGUGAAAGGUUAUUUUUUGGGGUGGCCGACAGAUUUAGUCUUCUUUACUGAUGAGGUUAUGACUUUGGCAAAAAAGAUGGAUAAUGAAUUGGUGCAAACCAAAGAGAAAGUUGAUAGUUGCGGACCUAUUAACUCAGAGCAUUCAACUAUUAAAGGAAAAGGCAUAACUAUUCCGGAAAAUAUUGUUGAGAGUCUUGGUGAACAGAGUGUUCUAUGUUGUAUUAUUAUUGCAUGCAUGACUUCAGGAAGUGGAGAUUAUGAUACUACGACAAUUCCAUUGAAGGCUCCAUUGUUUUAUCAAGAGGAAGACACACAAAUUUAUGUUACUAGUGAUGAUGUCUCUGAAUUACUACGAGGAGCAUGGGCUAAUAUUUCAUUAAUCCAUGUCUACAUAUUGUACUUAAUUGAAGAAUAUAUCUCAUUAUUUCAGAAGACUAAAAUCAAAUUCUUGUACCCCUAAAAUAUUUCUGCAGCUAAAAUCAAGAAAGAUUUCCUUGAAGUCCAAAUGUAUUUGAAAAAUGCUUUUCUUACUAAAUUAAGGAAAAAGGAUGCACAAUGCAAAUUCCUUUUGGCUCCAUAUAUGGAAGCGAAUCAUUGGGUACUCUAUGUGAUUGAUUUGCGUAUGAGUCUUUUGUAUGAGUUUGAUUCUUUUAUUCAAUCACCUCCGAAUGCUCGAAACUCAGAGUUGUCCAAAAUAAUGAAGAUGCCUUACAACGUAUAUAGGUCACACCUCAAAAGAAAUGCUUUCAAAAUGAGUAAGCCACAAUUACUACACAUAAGAAUGGAGGUACCUAGGAUUAGUCUUUGCAAGGGAAUCAAGAUGGGCUAUAUUAACUAAGCAAGGAGGAAAUAAUCGGCUUGGAGAGGGCUCAGAGAGGGCAUGGAGAGAGCAUCAAGCCCUACCAGUCCGCCGCGGGUGCGGGUACUGAAGGCCGCGGGCGCGGGCUCAUAUGCACCAAAUUGGCAGAUUUUGACCAAGAACUCUCCGCGGGCUUUCCACGGGCUUGCCGCGGGUAGUUUUGAGAGCUCGCUCGUACCAGAGAGACCGCGACCCUCUGAUCACCCUUUGGGAGCAGGGGAUUCUCCACGCUUUUGCCGCGGGCGUGGGUGCUUUUGCCGAGGGCGCGGGUUAGAAGACCCGCGGGCACGGGUGUUGCACAGAAAGCCCGUGGAGUUUUUAGUGGGUUCAAUACCCAUUUUUCCGCGGGCGCGGGGUUAAUAGGAGAGGGCGCGGGAAUCCCGUUUUUCUUCUUUGCCUAUAAAUACACUUGUAAUUCCUUUUUGAAGAUAACUUUUAGAUAAUUUUCAUUAGCUUAAUUUUAGAGAGAGAAGUUAGAGAGAAGUUCUUGG